GCCUUCGUAGCUCAGUUGGUAGAGCAGCUCGCUCUUAACGAGACGGUCGCAGGUUCGAAUCCUGCCGGGGGCACCA
This 76-nucleotide transfer RNA is filed under the name Candidatus Lloydbacteria bacterium RIFCSPHIGHO2_01_FULL_49_22. RNAcentral describes it as "tRNA-Lys". It matches the Rfam family "tRNA". From Rfam's summary of the family: Transfer RNA (tRNA) molecules are approximately 80 nucleotides in length. Their secondary structure includes four short double-helical elements and three loops (D, anti-codon, and T loops). The record is from RNAcentral. Lineage: Bacteria; Candidatus Lloydiibacteriota. RNAcentral also lists the same sequence under 1 other name.